AAUCCAUGAUAAGGACACCUUAUCAGAAGAUCCUUAAAUCUCUCCUAUGCAUCAUACAGUGUCUCACGCUCAAAUUGAGAAAAAAAAAAGAUGUCAUUCCUCAGUUU
Molecule: small nucleolar RNA, 107 nt
Filed under: Gossypium hirsutum (cotton)
Lineage: Eukaryota; Viridiplantae; Streptophyta; Magnoliopsida; Malvales; Malvaceae
Description: Plant small nucleolar RNA R71
Rfam family: Plant small nucleolar RNA R71
About the family: R71 is a member of the C/D box family of snoRNAs containing the C (UGAUGA) and D (CUGA) box motifs. Multiple nearly identical copies of this snoRNA have been identified in Arabidopsis, and it is thought to function as a 2'-O-ribose methylation guide for 18S ribosomal RNA.
Source: Rfam by way of RNAcentral